Molecule: unclassified non-coding RNA, 391 nt
Filed under: soil metagenome
Description: partial contains 5.8S ribosomal RNA, internal transcribed spacer 2, and large subunit ribosomal RNA
Rfam family: 5.8S ribosomal RNA (bases 1-122)
Source: RNAcentral
GAUGAAGAACGUAGCGAAAUGCGAUACUUGGUGUGAAUUGCAGAAUCCCGUGAACCAUCGAGUCUUUGAACGCAAGUUGCGCCCGAAGCCACUAGGCCGAGGGCACGCCUGCCUGGGCGUCACACGCCGUUGCCCCCCCAUCUACUCCUUCGGGAUUGCGGGGGGGCGGAUGAUGGCCUCCCGUGCGCCUAGCCGCGCGGUUGGCAUAAAUACCAAGUCCUCGGCGACGCACGCCACGACAAUCGGUGGUUGCGAAACCUCGGUUGCCCGUCGUGUGCGUUCGUCGCGCAUCGAGGGCUCGAAAAAAUGCUCGGCUCCGGCUGGGCUUUCAACGCGACCCCAGGUCAGGCGGGGUUACCCGCUGAAUUUAAGCAUAUCAAUAAGCGGAGGC